CGUGGGAGGUGUGUGGGAAGAGCAGCCUGUCGGGAGCCACUGUAGGUGAAAGGCAAGAAGAAGAGAUGGACUAUUAUGGGCCUUCAUGGGGGUCAUGCUGGGCUUUACAGAAGCCGAAGGGCCAAAGAUGGCCAAGCCUGAUUACAAUUCUGCUUUCGUGUCCAUGGCUUGAAGAAGGAAAGCAGCAUCUACUUCUCGGAAAUUGCGGAAAUAGCAUCAGCGGCGUGGGGAACGAAUGUAAGCAUGGUGGUUGAAGCAUCACGAUCACCCUGACCUGUGAGGACAAGUGUGUGGUCAAAGUCUGGUGGAGCUAGAUCUAAAGGAGCUCGGGCCCUGGGGACAGCAGGAACCUGCCCUCUGAGCUUUGGACCACCCUCCCCCAGAUGGGUGAGAAAUAAAA
Molecule: long non-coding RNA, 400 nt
Organism: Microtus oregoni (creeping vole)
Lineage: Eukaryota; Metazoa; Chordata; Mammalia; Rodentia; Cricetidae
Exons: 3
Source: RefSeq, a predicted model, not a curated record